UAGAAAUCGUGAGGUCAAGUCCUCUAUCCCAAAAACAUAU
This 40-nucleotide transfer RNA is filed under the name Diabelia stenophylla var. tetrasepala. RNAcentral describes it as "Diabelia tetrasepala partial tRNA-Leu". The record is from RNAcentral. Lineage: Eukaryota; Viridiplantae; Streptophyta; Magnoliopsida; Dipsacales; Caprifoliaceae.